Molecule: long non-coding RNA, 336 nt
Filed under: Callithrix jacchus (white-tufted-ear marmoset)
Lineage: Eukaryota; Metazoa; Chordata; Mammalia; Primates; Cebidae
Description: lncRNA (ENSCJAG00000074451.1)
Source: RNAcentral
UAAGGCCUGCCUUUUCUGGCUGAUUGCUGCAGAGGCUGUGGUUUGGCUUCCAAGCAAGUUACUGCUAAGUUUGUGGAUCAGAGGUCUACAGUAUUCUAAGGUCUGGCCACUGUCCAUUUAUAUAUUCAGUCUCUCAAGACACUUUGGAGAAAGCUCCAACUCCUCAUCAUGGAAUAAAGAACCCUUCACACUUGACUCCAGACUCAAAUACCUUGGCAGAAGGAUCUGGAUGGCUGAGCACAGCAAGUUUGCCCUUGUCUCGAUGGUGGCGUAUGGGGAGAGGCAAUGUCUGGCACCCUUUGGCUUCCUGUGCAGCAGUAGGUAAGGACUUGCCUC